Molecule: ribosomal RNA, 135 nt
Filed under: Prototheca wickerhamii
Lineage: Eukaryota; Viridiplantae; Chlorophyta; Trebouxiophyceae; Chlorellales; Chlorellaceae
Description: partial small subunit ribosomal RNA
Rfam family: Eukaryotic small subunit ribosomal RNA
Source: RNAcentral
UCUACCGAUUGGACGCUGCGGUGAAGACCUGGGAUUGGUCUGCGCGGUGAUUUCUGGGGAGCAAUCCCCGGGCCCGCGGGCCGAGAACUCGUCUGAACCCCAUCGUCUAGAGGAAGAAGAAGUCGUAACAAGGUU